GAUAAAGGCCGAUAGAUACCUGGUAAUUAGUCCGAACCAGGUAGUUAAGACACACCUUGAUGGCUGCCGAUUAGAGAGAGAGAGAGAGAGAGAGAGAGAGAGAGAGAGAGAGAGAUCCUUCCCUCCCUCCUCCUUUCUUCCUAUCUUCCUUCCUUCCUUCCUUCCUUUCCUUCACCAUAUAUAAUCAAGAUCGAAAGAAAGAAUAAAGAAAAGAAAAAUGAAAGAAAAGAAAGAAAAAAAACAUACAAUUCACUUCCUCAUUGUUACAUUAACCUUGGUGGUGGUGCCUCUCUCUCUCUCUCUCUCUCUCUCUCUCUCUCUCUCUCUCUCAAAUAGCUAAGCGUCCGUUCCACUAGUAAGCUCACCACUCUAAUAAAAAAAUAAAAAUAAAAAACAUCGUAAAAAAAACAGCCUCAAAGAAAGGACUAAUUGGCAUCGUCGCAAAGGUGGAUGUUACGAAGUCGAAUUUUACCUUUCUUGGCCCUCCCUGACUCCCCCUCUCUCAGUUCGUCAGUGGCUCCCCGACCAUCGUGAGGGGAGGGUGUGCGUGUGCCUUGCUCCCGGUGUAGUGGAAGACCCAAGAAGACUGACAGAUUUAGGAGAGAGCGCGAGGAAGGAGGAGGAGGACUAGAGGAGCAGGAGGAGGAGGAAGGAAGAAGGAGGAAGAGGGGAUAAAACUGAAGGAGAAAGUGAGGAAGAAAAAAAAAAUAUUGACCCAGUGUUGUGUUGAAAAGAAAGAAAGGGAAAGAAAGUAAGAAAAGAAAGAAAGAGAGAAAGGAAUUUUGUGACCUAACGUGUGAUAACAAAACGCUAAGAAAAGAAAAGAAAAAGACACAAAGAGGAAA
Eriocheir sinensis (Chinese mitten crab) is the source of this 845-nucleotide long non-coding RNA. RefSeq lists it as uncharacterized. The record is from RefSeq and is a predicted model, not a curated record. NCBI's taxonomy places the organism in Eukaryota, Metazoa, Arthropoda, Malacostraca, Decapoda, Varunidae. The transcript is spliced from 2 exons.